RNAcentral lists this long non-coding RNA (291 nucleotides) under Capsicum annuum. Its description in RNAcentral is "long non-coding RNA (CANN_LNC001588)". The record is from RNAcentral. Lineage: Eukaryota; Viridiplantae; Streptophyta; Magnoliopsida; Solanales; Solanaceae.
UAUCAGUUAUAGACUACGCAUCAUGAUAAGAUAGUUGCAGAUUUCAGCCAGCAGGUGAUGAGUUCUCCUACUCCGGGAACUCCAGAUAGUUUAUUUGUUUUCAUGUGUAUUGAUUAAUGGUAGUUGGAGGCAUGUCCCAGCUAUCUAUAGUCAGUAUAGUAGAGGUUUUAUAGAUGUCAGUCAGAGUCAAUCAUGUAGUUCUAAUUUCAUCCUUCAGAUUUAACAGAUUAUAAAGCUUUAUCAGUAUUGUAUCUAUUUUAGAUUUUUAGUAUGAUUAUGUUUUCGCAUAGC